RNAcentral lists this unclassified non-coding RNA (353 nucleotides) under soil metagenome. RNAcentral describes it as "partial contains 5.8S ribosomal RNA, internal transcribed spacer 2, and large subunit ribosomal RNA". The stretch from base 1 to 120 matches the Rfam family "5.8S ribosomal RNA", at positions 35 to 154 of the family's 154-position model. The record is from RNAcentral.
GAUGAAGAACGUAGCGAAAUGCGAUAAGUAAUGUGAAUUGCAGAAUUCAGUGAAUCAUCGAAUCUUUGAACGCACAUUGCGCCCGCCAGUAUUCUGGCGGGCAUGCCUGUUCGAGCGUCAUUUCAACCCUCAGGCCCCCAGUGCCUGGCGUUGGGGAUCGGCGCGGCGCCCUCCGGGGCGCUGCCGGCCCCGAAAUUCAGUGGCGGUCUCGCUGUAGCCCUCCUCCGCGUAGUAGCACAACCUCGCGGCCUGGAGCUCGGCGGUGGCCAUGCCGUAAAACACCCCACUUCUGAAAGUUGACCUCGGAUCAGGUAGGAAUACCCGCUGAACUUAAGCAUAUAAUAAGCGGAGGA